AACGCGAAGAACCUUACCAAGGCUUGACAUGUAUGGAUUAGUUGGGUGAAAGCCCAAUGACGCUCGCAAGAGUGGAACAUACACAGGUGCUGCAUGGCUGUCGUCAGCUCGUGCUGUGAAGUGUCGCGUUAAGUCGCUUAACGAGCGAAACCCUUAUCUUUAGUUGCCAACAGGUGAAGCUGGGAACUCUAAAGAGACUGCCGGUGUUAAACCGGAGGAAGGUGGGGAUGACGUCAAGUCCUCAUGGCCUUUAUGCCUUGGGUUGCACACGUGCUACAAUGGUAUGUACAAAGCGACGCAAGCCAGCGAUGGCAAGCAAAUCGCCUAAAGCAUGCCCCAGUUCAGAUUGCAGGCUGCAACUCGCCUGCAUGAAGUUGGAAUCGCUAGUAAUCGCGGAUCAGCUACGCCGCGGUGAAUAUGUUCCCGGGCCUUGUACACACCGCGCAUA
Molecule: ribosomal RNA, 448 nt
Filed under: uncultured bacterium
Lineage: Bacteria
Description: bacterial SSU rRNA
Rfam family: Bacterial small subunit ribosomal RNA
Source: RNAcentral